GGAGACGUGGCCGAGUGGUCGAAGGCGCUCCCCUGCUAAGGGAGUAGGCCCGGAAGGGUCUCGAGGGUUCGAAUCCCUUCGUCUCCG
Transfer RNA from Pseudooctadecabacter jejudonensis, 87 nucleotides. It matches the Rfam family "tRNA". From Rfam's summary of the family: Transfer RNA (tRNA) molecules are approximately 80 nucleotides in length. Their secondary structure includes four short double-helical elements and three loops (D, anti-codon, and T loops). The record is from Rfam. NCBI's taxonomy places the organism in Bacteria, Pseudomonadati, Pseudomonadota, Alphaproteobacteria, Rhodobacterales, Paracoccaceae.